GUUAUCGGAAUACUGGGCGUAAGCGAGCGUAGGUGGCUUAAUAAGUCAGAUGUGAAAUCCCCGGGCUUAACCUGGGAACUGCAUCUGAAACUGUUAGGCUAGAGUAGGUGAGAGGGAAGUAGAAUUCCAGGUGUAGCGGUGAAAUGCGUAGAGAUCUGGAGGAAUACCGAUGGCGAAGGCAGCUUCCUGGCAUCAUACUGACACUGAGGUUCGAAAGCGUGGGUAGCAAACAGGAUUAGAUACCCUGGUAGUCCACGCCGUAAACGAUGUCUACUAGUCGUUGGGUCCCUUGAGGACUUAGUGACGCAGCUAACGCAAUAAGUAGACCGCCUGGGGAGUACGGCCGCAAGGUUAAAACUCAAAUGAAUUGACGGGGGCCCGCACAAGCGGUGGAGCAUGUGGUUUAAUUCGAUGCAACGCGAAGAACCUUACCUGGUCUUGACAUACACAGAAUCUUGCAGAGAUGCGAGAGUGCCUUCGGGAAUUGUGAUACAGGUGCUGCAUGGCUGUCGUCAGCUCGUGUCGUGAGAUGUUGGGUUAAGUCCCGCAACGAGCGCAACCCUUUUCCUUAGUUACCAGCGGUUUGGCCGGGAACUCUAAGGAUACUGCCAGUGACAAACUGGAGGAAGGCGGGGACGACGUCAAGUCAUCAUGGCCCUUACGACCAGGGCUACACACGUGCUACAAUGGUAGGUACAGAGGGCAGCUACACAGCGAUGUGAUGCGAAUCUCAAAAAGCCUAUCGUAGUCCAGAUUGGAGUCUGCAACUCGACUCCAUGAAGUAGGAAUCGCUAGUAAUCGCGGAUCAGAAUGCCGCGGUGAAUACGUUCCCGGGCCUUGUACACACCGCCCGUCACACCAUGGGGAGUUGAUUGCACCAGAAGUGGAUAGCCUAACGAAAGAGGGCGUUCACCACGGUG
RNAcentral lists this ribosomal RNA (920 nucleotides) under Psychrobacter aestuarii. RNAcentral's name for it is "bacterial SSU rRNA". It matches the Rfam family "Bacterial small subunit ribosomal RNA", at positions 540 to 1464 of the family's 1533-position model. The record is from RNAcentral. Lineage: Bacteria; Pseudomonadati; Pseudomonadota; Gammaproteobacteria; Moraxellales; Moraxellaceae.